UACGUAGGGGGCAAGCGUUGUCCGGAAUCAUUGGGCGUAAAGCGCGUGUAGGCGGUCCGAUAAGUUCGCUGUGAAAGUCGGGGGCUUAACCCUCGGAUGCCGGUGAAUACUGUCGGGCUUGAGUACGGAAGAGGCGAGUGGAAUUCCUGGUGUAGCGGUGAAAUGCGCAGAUAUCAGGAGGAACACCAAUUGCGAAGGCAGCUCGCUGGGACGUUACUGACGCUGAGACGCGAAAGCGUGGGGAGCGAACGGG
This 253-nucleotide ribosomal RNA is filed under the name uncultured bacterium. RNAcentral's name for it is "partial 16S ribosomal RNA". It matches the Rfam family "Bacterial small subunit ribosomal RNA", at positions 524 to 776 of the family's 1533-position model. The record is from RNAcentral.